Molecule: ribosomal RNA, 300 nt
Filed under: uncultured Oceanospirillaceae bacterium
Lineage: Bacteria; Pseudomonadati; Pseudomonadota; Gammaproteobacteria; Oceanospirillales; Oceanospirillaceae
Description: bacterial SSU rRNA
Rfam family: Bacterial small subunit ribosomal RNA
Source: RNAcentral
GCGUAGGAACCUACCUAGUAGUUUGGGAUAGCCCAGAGAAAUUUGGAUUAAUACCGGAUACGCCCUACGGGGGAAAGGGGGCUUUGGCUCUCGCUAUUAGAUGGGCCUGCGUAAGAUUAGCUAGUUGGUGAGGUAAUGGCUCACCAAGGCGACGAUCUUUAGCUGGUCUGAGAGGAUGAUCAGCCACACUGGAACUGAGACACGGUCCAGACUCCUACGGGAGGCAGCAGUGGGGAAUCUUGCACAAUGGAGGAAACUCUGAUGCAGCGAUGCCGCGUGAGCGAAGAAGGCCCUUGGGGU